Molecule: transfer RNA, 82 nt
Filed under: Apaloderma vittatum (bar-tailed trogon)
Lineage: Eukaryota; Metazoa; Chordata; Aves; Trogoniformes; Trogonidae
Rfam family: tRNA
About the family: Transfer RNA (tRNA) molecules are approximately 80 nucleotides in length. Their secondary structure includes four short double-helical elements and three loops (D, anti-codon, and T loops).
Source: Rfam by way of RNAcentral
GGCCCGUUAGCUCAGUGGUUUGAGCGCGGUGCUGACAACAAUGACAACACCAGAGUCGCGGGUUCGAUUCCCACUUGGUCCC